Molecule: non-coding RNA, 89 nt
Organism: Anopheles epiroticus
Lineage: Eukaryota; Metazoa; Arthropoda; Insecta; Diptera; Culicidae
Source: Rfam
ACAAAGACAAACCACCAGCGAGGUAUAGAGUUCCUAUGUGCCUUCGCUACUCAUAGGAACUUCAUACCGUGCUCUUGGAUUGUUCUGAA